This is a long non-coding RNA of Acinonyx jubatus (cheetah), 2013 nucleotides long. RefSeq lists it as uncharacterized. The record is from RefSeq and is a predicted model, not a curated record. The transcript is spliced from 2 exons. NCBI's taxonomy places the organism in Eukaryota, Metazoa, Chordata, Mammalia, Carnivora, Felidae.
UGCCAGAAGACAAGGCGGAACAGAGACAGAGAGAGAGAGAGAGAGAGAGAGUCGCUAACCUCAGAACCCCCGCAACACCCAAGCAUGAGGACUGGUUCACAUCGUGGAUUCUCCACCUAGCUGUUAUCCACAACUAGUGAUGGCUGAAGAGCCGUGAAUGGGGAGAACACCAGCUCACGUUUGGCCAGUACCAGUGUGCCGGGCACUAUUCUAAGCACUUCCACGUGUUAACUCACUUAUUUCUCAUGACAACCCUAAGAGCUGAGGACAAUUAUUAGGUGAGAAAAGUGAGGCCCCAAAAGGUAAGCCACUUGCCUAAGGCCCUCCAGCUAAGAAGUGGGGGCCCAGGGGUGUGGUCCCAGAACCUAUGCCCUCCCCACUGAAGGAUACUUUGGACAAGGGGACCUUGGUGGUGGCCAGUGCGCCCACACACAGGAGAGCUAGAGAGUACACACAUGUACAGGAGUACAUUCUGGAGAGCCAGAGAAACCUGCCCCCACACAGUCAUAACCUCCAACCUGCCCAGAUUUUUCUUCAUCAGAAUAGCCCAGGAGCCUGGCUGGCGGUAUCUGUCUGGCUCUGCCCCAAGAGAGGAGGCGUGAUACGACACCCCAGCCCUCACCAGCUUGCCAGUCCCUCCCACUCCAGCUAGUCUGGACUCCUCAGUCAGCUGGGGUUCCCCACCCUUGGACGCCCUGAGCUCCUCCCUCAGCGACAGGUGCGGCAGGGGGCAGGAGACAGGAGGCCGUGGAGGCCCCAGUGACAAGAACAGAAACCAGAGCCCCAGGCCAGGACAGCACUGGACAGGAAUGGGGAGGAGACAGACAGAAGGAGACAGAGGAGAAGACACACAGGAAGAGAGCAAAGGCAGAAUGUAGGAGACAGAGAUGGGGCUGCGUCCUCCCUCGCCCUUCCCACAGGCAACACAGCUCUCUCUUGUCUCGGGGCUGAAAGCAAGAAGGGGAGAGGGAAGACCUUGUAAAUGAAGCAGGUGAGAGUUCUGCAGCUACACGUCUCAGUUUCAAUUCUCCUCGAGUCCCUGAUGCAGAACGAGCACCUCCGGAGGGGAAGUGAGUGAAGACAGGUGCCCAUGGGAGAUACCCCUCACUCAACCCCACUUUGGGCAACAGGCCCGAUGCUUAGAGGGUCCCAGAAACACCUUCCUGACAGGGCUCCAGAGACCAAAGCCCAAGGCCACUGAGCCCUGCAAAGUGGCAAAAGGAGAAGGCAGAGGGACACUUGCCAGACCCUGCCCAUGUCUCCCCAGGGAUCUGAAUUCUCUUCCCACCCCACAUCACACAAAACCCCUAUUCUCUCGGAAUAUCUGAUACCUCCCGUGGAACAGGAACUUGAGGUCUGGCUUUGUCCCCAACCAGCUGUAUGACCUUGGUUAACCUCUUCCCUUCCGAAGACCUCAGUCUGCCAUCUCCAUAGUGAGCGGCCCUUUGGGGGCUGGCGCUCUGCGGUCCUGGGACUCUGUUGGCCCUCACCAGCCUUCAAAGCCACUGGUGCUCUCAGAAGGAUGCUGGUCAGCCUCCCCCAGCUGUCCACCCUACCCGUGUCCUGGAAAGCCCCCUAUCCUGUCCAAUGUCCCACCUCCUUCUAGCAAACCGUAGCUGGCCCAUGCCCUCCGGGCCUUGCAAGGAGCUGACCACCAUCCACAGAAAUAAGAGGACCCGACGUGAGAUGGAAAGUGAGAGCGGCUGAUUCCCCCCUACUGGAGAACACAGCGGCACCAGGCCGGCCUGGCCUUUCGCCUGACGGCCCGCGUUUAAGACACCAUCCCUUUAUCUGGCUUUCAUUAGAGCCUCGGCCGCGCCUCUUUUGUGGGAGAGACUUAUGGGAACCCAGGCAGUUUCCCAGCCUCUGUGAUGUUGCUAAAGAUUAAAAAGGAGCUUUGAAGCUGUACCAGUUCUCUCUGCGCCCCCUCGGUACAGGGCCUCAGAAAGACCCAAGCCAUCUGGCAAACCUGACAUAAAGACAAAAUAAAGUGAUUGAGACUGGCUCUUCAAA